UGCCAUGCUUCCAGGAAAAGCCUCUAAGCUUCAGAUUGUAAGGAAUCGUACCCCAAACCGACACAGGUGGUCGGGUAGAGAAUACCAAGGCGCUUGAGAGAACUCGGGUGAAGGAACUAGGCAAAAUGGUACCGUAACUUCGGGAGAAGGUACGCUCUCGACGGUGAAGUCCCUUGCGGAUGGAGCUAUUGAGAGUCGCAGAUACCAGGUGGCUGCAACUGUUUAUUAAAAACACAGCACUGUGCAAAAUCGUAAGAUGACGUAUACGGUGUGACGCCUGCCCGGUGCCGGAAGGUUAAUUGAUGGGGUUAGACUUCGGUCGAAGCUCUUGAUCGAAGCCCCGGUAAACGGCGGCCGUAACUAUAACGGUCCUAAGGUAGCGAAAUUCCUUGUCGGGUAAGUUCCGACCUGCACGAAUGGCGUAAUGAUGGCCACGCUGUCUCCACCCGAGACUCAGUGAAAUUGAAAUCGCUGUGAAGAUGCAGUGUACCCGCGGCUAGACGGAAAGACCCCGUGAACCUUUACUACAGCUUGGCACUGAACAUUGACCCUACAUGUGUAGGAUAGGUGGGAGGCUUUGAAGCACGUACGCCAGUAUGUGUGGAGCCGUCCUUGAAAUACCACCCUUGUAGUGUUGAUGUUCUAACGUCGACCCCUUAUCGGGGUUGCGGACAGUGCCUGGUGGGUAGUUUGACUGGGGCGGUCUCCUCCCAAAGAGUAACGGAGGAGCACGAAGGUGGGCUAAUCACGGUUGGACAUCGUGAGGUUAGUGCAAUGGCAUAAGCCCGCUUGACUGCGAGAAUGACAAUUCGAGCAGGUGCGAAAGCAGGUCAUAGUGAUCCGGUGGUUCUGAAUGGAAGGGCCAUCGCUCAACGGAUAAAAGGUACUCCGGGGAUAACAGGCUGAUACCGCCCAAGAGUUCAUAUCGACGGCGGUGUUUGGCACCUCGAUGUCGGCUCAUCACAUCCUGGGGCUGAAGUCGGUCCCAAGGGUAUGGCUGUUCGCCAUUUAAAGUGGUACGCGAGCUGGGUUUAGAACGUCGUGAGACAGUUCGGUCCCUAUCUGCCGUGGGCGUUGGAAGAUUGAAGGGGGCUGCUCCUAGUACGAGAGGACCGGAGUGGACGAACCUCUGGUGUUCGGGUUGUGUCGCCAGACGCAUUGCCCGGUAGCUAAGUUCGGAAUCGAUAACCGCUGAAAGCAUCUAAGCGGGAAGCGAGCCCUGAGAUGAGUCUUCCCUGAUACUUUAAGUAUCCUAAAGGGUUGUCGGAGACUACGACGUUGAUAGGUCAGGUGUGUAAGUGCUGUGAGGCAUUGAGCUAACUGAUACUAAUUGCCCGUGAGGCUUAACCAU
RNAcentral lists this ribosomal RNA (1351 nucleotides) under Vibrio parahaemolyticus. RNAcentral's name for it is "partial 23S ribosomal RNA". It matches the Rfam family "Bacterial large subunit ribosomal RNA", at positions 1598 to 2925 of the family's 2925-position model. The record is from RNAcentral. Lineage: Bacteria; Pseudomonadati; Pseudomonadota; Gammaproteobacteria; Vibrionales; Vibrionaceae.